AAGUGUUACAUCUUCAUGUCUUAUCACUGACACUUCAUCGUCACAUUAUCACCUUUAAUAACGUGACAAUGACAUAUCAGUGAUUAGGCUUGAUGAUGUGACACUUUAU
Molecule: non-coding RNA, 109 nt
Organism: Glycine soja
Lineage: Eukaryota; Viridiplantae; Streptophyta; Magnoliopsida; Fabales; Fabaceae
Source: Rfam